Molecule: non-coding RNA, 7000 nt
Organism: Rattus norvegicus (Norway rat)
Lineage: Eukaryota; Metazoa; Chordata; Mammalia; Rodentia; Muridae
Source: RefSeq, a predicted model, not a curated record
CAUGAAGAAGGCCACGAUGAUGAUGUAGAUAAUGAAGAAGAUGGAGAUCUCCACACGGUAGUUGUAGACAGGACCAACGUUCUCUCCGUUUGAGUCGAUAGCUUUGUACAGCAACCUGGAGGACGAGAAAACUGGUGGGGCAGAUAUCACCACCAUCCCCCUUUCAUCGAUAGUCAGAGAGGCAUCCGAGUGCCAAGGCCACGAGGUCACAAUCCUCAGCAGCAGAGUCUAGAGCUGGGCUCAGGUCCUGAAGCUCCAAGCCCUGGGCUGGUUCACAUCCUGUCGGCCACCCCAGUGGUUAACUGAAGCACAGCGUCCCAAACCUGAUGUUACCACAGUGUCUUGUCAGAGUGAGCAAGUGCUAUUCAACUCUCCACAGAGUUGAACAUCUAGGAACAUCUGUCAUGGCCACUGCAAGAGCCCAGGCAGCCAGCAAGAACCAGCCUGGGCACUCACCUCCUGAAGCUCCUCUGGGCAAGGGACAUGUGAAGAAAGGCAGCAGAAUGCCAGGGGUUCCCCCUUGCCCUUUGUCUGCUUCCUUCUUUAUGUUCUGGGAUCCUUGCAACUGCCGGUGGCUGUCACACACUAGUGCUCAUUCUGUGUCAUAAGGAGUGAGUGAGUGCAUGACCGUUUGGAUGCUGUCAAAUCCUCUUUAAGAACCAACAGAAGUUUAUACAGCAAAUGCCUCUUAGGGACCCCGUAACCACACCCAGAGAUGCUGUCCAGGCAUUUACAUCCGGGAGCCACAAGUAAGGCGCCGAUGUUUAACACCUGCCUGUUCAGAUGGAGGAGCCAUGAUGGGUAAGAAAUGAUGACAAGUUACCCAGCGUUAGUCACAGGCAAACGUGCUAGCUGUAAAGAACAAAAGUAGAACCUGCUCCAGGAAGGAAGACAGCAUGGAGUCCCCAAGGAGCGAACGGAGACCUUAUGGGAGACUGGAUAUUCCUUAUACUCACGCGGGCCAGCCCUCAAAAGUCGAGACCGUGAAGAGCGCCAUCAUAGCCGAAAGGACAUUGUCGAAAUUGAAAUCACUGUUUUGCCAGAUCCUCUCACGGACCACGGGACUGUCGACAUCGCCGUCCUUAUAAAGGAUGAAAAGCCCCCUGUAGAGGAAAGGCGUUAGACAAUCGUCUUGGCGUCACACAUAACCCAUGGCCAUAUCAUAUAACCCAAACUGAUACAUAUGGGGCAGGCAGCUAGACCCCAGCCAGUUGUAAACACUCUAAAGGUCAAGGACAUAGAUUUUGUGUAGACUUAAGCUCUGGGCAAUGUAUGCACUGGCUGUGAAAAUCCCAUCUUAAGUUAUGAGAUGUGAACACUUCUUGCUGUUUCUACCGUUGGCUGUUAAGAACAGAAACAUGCCAAAAUGUGGGCAAGGAUCAAAACAGGACCAAGGAGCAGAGUGCCAAGUCUUCUAGAAGAAGGAAACCCAAUCCUGAGCCCUGGGAAGUGAGCUGCAAGUCUGGCUUGGGAGAGUACCAUUCACAUUCCUCAGAUAUUGGUGGCGCUCGCUCACUGCCAUUUCAUGGCUCCUUACCCCAGUCUAUAGGCUCCUUACUCCGUCUACAUUCUUUUGGGAUGAUAAAAAUGUUUCAAACCUCGAGAGAGGCCCUGACUAGAGGACAACGUGACCACGCUGAACUGUGUCCCGAAUGCAAGUGAUUUCAUGUUCCUUGAGUUUUUGCCUGGACUUGAAGAUAUAAACGAACAACCAAAGACCAAGCGCCAUCCUGCCAGGCAUGAGCUGAGUGGACAGUCCUCGACGGAAACCUCUGAAAUGCUAAACUGACUGAGUCCAAGCCGCUAGGCUGCUCUUGGGAUACCCACCUGCACUCCUCGGGGUUACUUUUGGCCUCAUCUGUGCAACGGUAGAACUUCCCCUAGACGCAAAGCAGACGGAGAGUCAAUAUGGGCUCUUCCAAUGGAACCCAACUCUAGCCCUGGCUGAGACGCGCGCCUACCUUGAACAGCUGGACCCCAAUGCAAGCAAACAUGAACUGGAGCAGGGUCGUGACGAUCAUGAUGUUGCCGAUGGUUCGGAUGGCCACAAAGACACACUGGACCACGUGCUGGGGCAGGACCAGAGAGAGGGCGAGUUAACCCUAGGCCAGGGCUUCUGUGUUCAGGUACUCAGUGUAUGUGUGUACAUGUGCACACGUGAAUGUGGUGGCCAGAGGACAACACACAGGAGACGGUCCUCUCUUGCACACUGGUCCCAGAUAUUGGACUCGGAUUAUCAGGCUUAGCAGCAAGCACCUUGACCCCACUGAGCUGUUCUACUGGCCCCAAAACACCUCUCUUGGGCUUUCUCCAAAGAAGUCGGUCUAAUUGAAGGAAACACCUCCUACACAUAGGCUCGUAGGAUCCCAAUCCCAGAAAGACUUUGCAGCAGUGUAAACCCUCUAGCCUGGUGUAUAAUCCACACGGGAGCAUUUACGACUUAAACACAAAAGGCUAUUGAGAAAGAACUACCAAAUACUGUAAUUAUAGUAACUAAUAUCUCCAAUUAACAAAGACACAAAAGCAAUCUCUGCAGUGUGUGUAUGUGUAGCCAUACGUUAUGUGGGCACGUGCUCCCACGUGCAUGACCGUUCUUUGAGGAGAGCAGGAGAGGCCAUUGCGUGUCCUGCUGUCACCCUUGACUUUAUACUCUUAAGAUGGGGUCUCCCUAAACUCAGAGCAAGGGCAGCCACCAGGAAGCUCCUUCCUGUCUCAGUCACCCCACACACAGUGCUGGGGUUUCCGGUGUGUGAGAACACGCCUGGCUUUUUACACAGGGUCUGGGAUUUGACUCUGGUCCUAACGCUUGUGCAAAUGUUCUUACCUGCUGAGCUGUCUUUCAUCUUUUGAAUGACAGUACUUGGCAGAUGCAGCUUUUUAAAUCUUUUUCCCCCCACUCCGAAACCCACCAGCCCUCACCUCACCUCCAGACGAGAACAGUUAGUAACUACAGCCAUCUCCAACCCAAGCCAGCCCCACUGAACAGAGAGGGUCCAUACCUUAAGUCCUUUUGCUCUGUUGAUUGCUCUGAGAGGCCUCAAGACCCUUAAGACCCUCAGAAUCUUCACAACCGAGAUGGCACUGGAUCUGAGGAGGGACAGAGUGAGAAAGCAAGCGAGUGGUCCAGAGUCCAGUGGCUUCACAGUGCCUGGCUUACAGUUCUCUCCAGGUUCCUAUUGCUAAGGGACGUGUGUGCAUGUGUGCACACAUGGGACAGCUCUAGAGCACUGAAGCUCACGGGCCAGCAGAAAGUGAAGUGGGGACACAGAAGAUGCAAACACAGGCACAGGGAAAGGAAGGGAUCCCAAUAGACCGACAAAGUCAAGCUUUUCCUGCAGUGAAAGAAAACUGCCACCCCAAGAGGAUACUCAAAGUCUUGGACCAGGCCUGAGAAGAACCCUAUUCGUCCCUCCCUCCCUCCCUCCCUCCCUCCCGCUCAGGUUGCCUUUCAUCUGCUAUAGAAAGCUAGUCCUGCAGAGAAUUGUAAGAUGUCAUACAGGUGAAGACAGGUACAAGAUAGAACAAAGCCUAUCAUUGGAUGAGAAGGAAGGAGAAAAAUCUGAGGAGGAGACUGGAACAGAAGGAGACAGAAAGAGGAAGCAGUGGAGAGGGCAUGGAGGCUGAUUCCACUCUGUAUUGACAGGGUUUAAAACCAACCGAGCCAAAACCUGGGCUCGUCCCAAACUCCUGACAGAAGCGUGACUCCAUUAAUGGCUGCACAGAAGGAGGGCAAAUGCACACCAGCAGGCUGGGUGACUAUGUCACUUUCUUCAGCAAAGGUGGAAAGAUGCAGCCAAUCGCAGGCACAUUUGUAAAGAGACCAGUUCAGAGUUUAUUCAAACAAGGACAGGACUCUGGUACGUCCAAACAGCCUGGGUAGGGCUCAUGACUAUGCUUUUGAGCGCCUUCGCUGCCUCACACCUGAGCUUACCUAUACGGUGCUGGCCUGGCCAUCUUAAGGCCACAGAGCACGCAGUGUUUUCAUUAUACCUUCUCAGUGCGGGCUCGAGGUGCCACCUGGCUCCAGCACUCCUGGUCCACUUUCUUCCUUAACUUGGCUGCUCCAGUGUUCAUAUUUCUCCAUUCCCAUCUCUCCCGAGCCUGGCUACUCUACAAGCAUUAAGUACAGCAAGGAGGCUGUAGGGCGAUGUUACAACCAAGCUAGCCUUGUUCUCACUAAACACCUUGUUUGGCAGGAGCACACAGAGUGGGUGCUCUAGUGAGGUUUCUGCUGAUGACGGGAAGACUUCAAUAAGGAAGUUCUCUGAGGGGAAAAUAGUAUUAAAUAACCCGGGAUUGUAUUUGCCCCAAGGCCCAUCAGUGAGUAACAGUUUGAAAAGGCAGACAUUAAAGCUAACUGGACUAAUGGCUCUCUGGAACAUGUUCCUUAAUUGAGCUUGAGGGAGGGGCAGCAAGUGAACCUGGAGCAGGGACUCUGUCCAUUUUGUGCCAGUUUUUACCACAGGGCCAUGAGCCUUGGCCACUGUUCUGUUAUGCCUGGUUGUAGAGGGAAAUAAAAUCAAACCCACUGGCCUACGUUUAGGCAAGAAAACCCAAACUUUUAUAAGAUUUGAAACAGAGUUGGACAUAUUUGGGGAGGGUGGUUUUGAACUCAUUAUCAACAUCAGUGACACAGAGGGGCCACUCCCUCUCCUCCUUAAUCGAGGUUUUGUCGGUGGAAGCUUUUGUGAGGAGCCCAAGUCCCUAGCUGCCCAGCGUAAAGUGUUGUUUUUUUUUUUUUUAGAUGCACACAUAUAAACCUCAAAAUACUUUAAAGUCAACUGUAGCAAAACCCCUUCGCUUCCCACUUCUUCCCACGAGGAGUUGGCUGUAAGAAUCCUAUCAGAAGGCCCAACUACUGGAGGCUCCUAGACCUCUGCCAUGUCUCCAGACCUCUGAGCAUCUAGGAAGGAACUUCUCCAUGGAGUGCUCACAACUGGGACAUAGCACACACAGGUAGGCCAUGCAUGGGCAGUACAUACAGGUACAGCUUUGUCUGUGCCAAUGUAAGCCCAUUCCAUUGAAAGAGAUACAUAACAUCCCCACACAAGUAGACCCAGUGUUUCUUGCAAGACUCAUUGCAAGAGAGUAGUAAGUUAUUCUUCAAGGACACAGAAACCACAGUGUAGUCCCAGGAGCGAGGAGACAGUGGCUCCUGUCACCUCAUAGGUGCUCUUCAUCUCGCUCUGAUGUCAGGAAGGGCAGAAGGACCUUCACACAAGGGACUAUAUCCACUAUUAGCGAACCAAUUUCAGAGGAUUUUUUUUUUUAAAGAACAAAGUGUAAUUCCAACCAGGAGGUGAAACCCACGUGGCUCCUACAUGCAACUCAAAGUUAACGAAAAACCUCGAAAACACGUUGGAAUGGUCACAGAGGAAAAAAAAAAUCCUACAGUUCAAAAAAGGUCAGCUUGGUCACAGAAGGGGAAAAAAACAGCUCAAAGCACUUCACGCAUCUCUCCUGUGCUUCGAGCACGGGAGGGGCCUCGGUCAGAGGGCUGGCCGGCCUGUUACCUUUAAAAUGAUCUCAAAAGCAAAAGUACCCGUGAAGACGUAGUCCGCAUAACCUAGUAUCUGGAAGGAAAGCACAGAGCACAACCAUUACUGCUGUGGCCGAAUAUCGAAGAGGGUCAAGGAGAGUGUGUUACCUUUAACAGGAUUUCAACCGUAAAGAUGGCUGUGAAAGCAUAGUCAAAGUAGCCCAGUAUCUGUAAGGACAACAUGCGGCAGUCAGAACAACACACAGAUGAGUUGUGGCAGAUCCUUGCCCAAGAGCAGAACCCCCAACUUGUGUCCAGAGGCCCUUCUCCCAGGCAGGACAACCCUGCUGCUCCCAUGGGAAGGUUGAGAUCUCAAGAGGACCCAUUUCGCCCACCCAAAGCUCAUCUUGGUGACCACCUAGGAAUGUUGGGAAUUUCGGCUUCCCAGAUUCCUAUCAGGGCCCAAAGGGACUUAUUGCUGGCUGUUAAUAACCUUCCCUCUGCGUGGGCUACCAGCGGGUUGUGGCCCCUGAUAAAUGAGACUCACACACAUUCUGCAGCUUUGAACUUGGAUAAAAUGAGCUGUGCUGGUAUUGGGAAGAAAUUCAGUUAGCGAUGUUAGUGACGGGGCUGAGGGUGCCAAUUGAGCACGAGGCCCCGGGGAUCCAGUCCCAGCACCAAAGGGCUGCCAUUUUUAAUUCUUAAAACAUAAGUAAAAAUGCUAAUGGCAUCAAAUGAAGUCAGAAGGUUUCCCAUGUUCCUGUGGGCAAUGCAAUCAUCACGUGAUCUCCCUAACCCACCCACAUACUCUGGGACGGCCCACCUAUGCCCAGUCUGUGUGCUUAGUAUCUUCCUCCUGCCGCACUCUACCUAACUCUGCUCUCUCUCAGGGUUGAUCCCUGCCUUUCUGGGUCCAUGCAAAGAACAUACUGACAUAGCAUCCCAGUUUUUAGCAUAGGCCUCUCUCUCGGCCUUCCUGAAAAUGUCGCCUAUUGUCUAUAAAGUCUUCUGAGCUCCUGAUGCAAGGUUCCUGAUUUCCUUCAGAGCCACAAAGAACUCAGAAUCAGGGCAGGUGUGCCAGGAACCGCAAAUCUGACCAAGGUUACUCGUAGUGUGCUGACGACCCUCUGACUCUCAACUGGAAAGAUAGCAGCUAAGACUGCCAUUACACAAGCCGAUCCUGGGUGCUGAUCUCAUGGAUAUGCUCUUCUCUGGUUUCGAAAGAACUGAAGAUAUCGAUGUUGGAAGGACUGCAGGGACCAUUUGGCGUAGGAUGCUAGGGCAGGGGCAUCUGCUCAGGCCUGAAAGCCAGUCACAGGCAAAGAAGCUGAAACUCAGUCACUGCUAAAAUGAAACACUGGAGUGUUCUAACAGUGGCACGCAUGUGAAAGGCAAGGAAAAACAAGGAAAUGAAUACGUGGGAAAGAGACGAUGACAAGAAGAGACGUAAAUUAGCUCCUCGUGGACACUGAACCUGGACUAGCUCCUGACCUGUGACAACAUGACUUGUCUCUAAUCACC